CUCUCGCCGCAUAUGGCCGAGCCGAGCGUGGCCAGCCAUGAGAGCGACGGCAGCCGGUGGAGAGGGCUAGGCCAUGCGUGGCCAGCCAGGAGAGUCGGUAGCCGCCGCUUAGGCCGGGGACGUCAGAUGGGGUGCGGCUGCCGGCGCCGUGUACGCGCCGACCUCGUCUCGUCGUGGAUGGGUGGCCGCCGGCCGAAGGCCGUCGCCGUCGGAUAGGGCCCCGCCACCGCCACUGGGUGGCAACCGCAGGAGGGCAAGCGUCGGGCGAGGGCCGCCGCCGCCUCGGCUGGGUGCCACCGCCUGAGAGUGAGGAGGCGUUGCGGCCGGGCGAGGGAGCGCUGUCGGCCAUGCGCCCCGAUGGAGCGCCGGCGGGAAGAUCGAGCCGGCCACCUUUAUGGAGAGGCAGCGCCGACGCCAAAUCUGGGUGGGGCCAUGGGGAACCGCCGCCAGAUCUGGGUGUGGCCAUGGGGAACCACCGCCUCGGAGAAGAAAAUGGCACCCGCCGGAGGGGGGCCGAGCGACCGGUAGGCGCUGGGGAAAGUUGUUGCCGACGACACGGUGACGGAGGAUGGCUGGGGUCGCACGACGAACCCGCCGAUGUCUACACCGUCGGUAUGUGCGUUCCGUUCGUGAUGGAUUCUCCUAGCGGCUACUGUAGAACUAGUUGUUACAUCCAAAUCUUAGGAAAGAAAAUAGACGCUUUUAAAAACAUACCACGGUAUCAAAUAAGACCAUCUCGUAACCAUGAUGAUCUCGAAGAUCUAUGAGAAUAAUACCUGCAGCUAUGCAGAAUACUUGCAAGCACAACAUUUUAUCCUCAGACUCUAUUCCCUCCUUUACCUUCAGUUCUACUCCGAACUGAACCGGAUCAAAAAAAAUACAACUGUGCGAGACGUCUGAACCGGAUCAAUAAGCACAACUGCGUGAGAUGUGCCUUGUCAAAGGCGCUGACUGUGGGGAUGGACAAGGCAUUUCCAUCAAUUGAUAAGAUGAGAGAUUCUAUGACAGCUUCAGCCCCGAUAUCUAUGUACAACGUAGCCCCGACAUCCACAAGAUCAGAUCUCAUCUUUCAAUGAUCGAGUUUCUCAACUCUUGAACCAGUUUAUUUCACCCCAAGUCCAUGGCUUAUAGAUCUUCAUCUGUAGCUUCGCUCCAUGGUAGCUCACGCCACCAAAACAUUGCUUGCCCAAACCAGUGUACGGUAGCUCUCUAUGUGGAUAGUGGAAAUAGCAGCAGACAACCAUCUCAUUGGGAUGGAGUGUACGGUGGUUUUGAGCUGAGGAUCUGGUUUUGAAAUUUAGUGUUACUUUGUGCAUACUGAGUUAUAG
Long non-coding RNA from Phragmites australis (common reed), 1328 nucleotides. RefSeq lists it as uncharacterized. NCBI's taxonomy places the organism in Eukaryota, Viridiplantae, Streptophyta, Magnoliopsida, Poales, Poaceae. The record is from RefSeq and is a predicted model, not a curated record. The transcript is spliced from 2 exons.